GACGAAGGAUGCAAGCGUUAUCCGGAUUCAUUGGGUUUAAAGGGUGCGUAGGUGGCCUUGUAAGUCAGUGGUGAAAUCUCUCGGCUUAACUGAGAAAUUGCCAUUGAUACUGCAGGGCUUGAGUACAGAUGCCGUUGGCGGAAUAUGACAUGUAGUGGUGAAAUACAUAGAGAUGUCAUAGAACACCGAUUGCGAAGGUAGCUGACGAAACUGUAACUGACACUGAGGCUCGAAAGUGUGGGGAUCAAACAGG
This 253-nucleotide ribosomal RNA is filed under the name uncultured bacterium. RNAcentral's name for it is "partial 16S ribosomal RNA". It matches the Rfam family "Bacterial small subunit ribosomal RNA", at positions 524 to 776 of the family's 1533-position model. The record is from RNAcentral.